RNAcentral lists this transfer RNA (92 nucleotides) under Burkholderia dolosa. Its description in RNAcentral is "tRNA-Ser". Lineage: Bacteria; Pseudomonadati; Pseudomonadota; Betaproteobacteria; Burkholderiales; Burkholderiaceae. The record is from RNAcentral.
CACGGUGCGGGCGGGCACGCCGCUCGCGCAGCUGGAGGCCGCGCUGGCCGAGUGCGGCCAGAUGCUGCCGUUCGAGCCGCCGCACUUCGGCC